UCUCAGCACCUGUACAUCAUGCCCACUAACAUUCACAGAGGAGGAGGUGCCAUUGAUUCGCCAGUGGUGGUGCAUUCAGUUGAUGGAGAGGUUUUGCCUUGAAGGGCAUGGACAGAGAUUUGCACACUGGACAGAAGCAGCAUCCCAACUCCUUCAGGGAACCCUUGAGCCGGUCUUUAGGGUGUCAAAAUCCACCACCACCAAACAGUCACCCAGCAGAAGAGUUGUGGCUGAAGAGGACACUGAUAAGGUGCAACAGCCUACCAUUGUGAGAGACCUUCAUACAGCUUGGUACUAGGG
Molecule: long non-coding RNA, 300 nt
Organism: Sinocyclocheilus grahami
Lineage: Eukaryota; Metazoa; Chordata; Actinopteri; Cypriniformes; Cyprinidae
Exons: 4
Source: RefSeq, a predicted model, not a curated record